UAUCGUAAAGAUGAUUUAAAAAUAUAUGAUAUUAUUUUAUUUGAUUUUAAAUGUAUAGUAAACUGUGAGUUGUAUAUGUUUUGUUGAUAUUAUCUAUAUUGUUUAGUGUUUAAGAUUAUACACUUGUAGUUUGAUUGUUAAUUUAAGAGUUUCACCUGUAGUAUACCAUCUUGUAUUAAUAUCGAUCUAAACCCGUCAAUUUUAGGAUUUUUCAGCUUGUAUUAAAAACUGAAUCACAUCAUACACAUAAAAAAAUCUAAUAUGUUAUUAAUUAUUGUAGUAUAUAAGAUUAUAAAUUUUCAAUAUAAUAUGUAUGAAAUUAAAUAUAAAUAUUUCAAAUUAUGACCCGUUACUCAGUAGAAAUAUAAGUUUUCUUAAAUAUAUUUUUCACCCGUUAUAAUAUUUUUUCAUGUAUUGAACAGUUUAUAUUUGUUUUUAAAAAUUAUAAUUAUGGCAUAUGCGAAAAAACUCUAAUUAUUUUUUUAUAAUGAUGAUAUUAUUUUUUCGCAAAAAUAGAAUCAUAUAAAGAUGAGAAGUGAAUUAUAAUAAUUAAUAAAAAAUUAAUAUGAUAAUUUAGAUAUCAAAUCUAAUUUGUUGAUUUUAAUUGGUUACUUUUUUGGAAAUUAAUAAUGUAUUUCAUUUUUCUAAUUAAAUCAAAUUAAUUAAAAUUUAGAUAUCAAAU
RNAcentral lists this small RNA (682 nucleotides) under Arabidopsis thaliana (thale cress). Its description in RNAcentral is "ATSL293680". Lineage: Eukaryota; Viridiplantae; Streptophyta; Magnoliopsida; Brassicales; Brassicaceae. The record is from RNAcentral.